UCGAUGGUCGAUCCGAGGUUCUCAGAAUACUUCCGAUCGCCUUAGACCAACAACCAAAGAACACCAACACUCCUAUCAGAUAUCACUCUAGGCUUUUCAACCCGAAGAAGCAAUACCCGAUAGUUAGUUUGUCCGGACAAGGACUAAUAUCAUUUGGAACCCGUACUUAAAAAAAAAAAACAUUCUUUAUAUAUCAAUCAAAAGCAUCUUACAAAAUUUGUUAUAAAUUAACCUCGAGGUUUUUGGUCAACAAAUCUUAUACAUAAGAUAUAUCAAAAUGACUUUGCAAGGAU
Molecule: long non-coding RNA, 293 nt
Filed under: Brassica napus (rape)
Lineage: Eukaryota; Viridiplantae; Streptophyta; Magnoliopsida; Brassicales; Brassicaceae
Description: long non-coding RNA (BNAP_LNC025227)
Source: RNAcentral